GCUAGCGGCAGGCUUAACACAUGCAAGUCGAGGGGUAACAGAGAGUGCUUGCACUCUGCUGACGACCGGCGCACGGGUGAGUAACGCGUAUGCAACCUACCUUUUACAGGGGAAUAGCCCAGAGAAAUUUGGAUUAAUACCCCAUAUUAUCUUUUUUUCGCAUGAAUUAAUGAUGAAAGUUUCGACGGUAAAAGAUGGGCAUGCGUCUUAUUAGUUUGUUGGUAAGGUAACGGCUUACCAAGACUUCGAUAGGUAGGGGCCCUGAGAGGGGGACCCCCCACACUGGUACUGAGACACGGACCAGACUCCUACGGGAGGCAGCAGUGAGGAAUAUUGGACAAUGGAGGAAACUCUGAUCCAGCCAUGCCGCGUGCAGGAUGAAUGCCCUAUGGGUUGUAAACUGCUUUUAUACAGGAAGAAACAUUUCCACGUGUGGGAACUUGACGGUACUGUAAGAAUAAGGAUCGGCUAACUCCGUGCCAGCAGCCGCGGUAAUACGGAGGAUCCAAGCGUUAUCCGGAAUUAUUGGGUUUAAAGGGUCCGUAGGUGGUUAUUUAAGUCAGAGGUGAAAUCCUGCCGCUUAACGGUAGAACUGCCUUUGAUACUGAUUAACUUGAGUUAUUGUGAAGUAGUUAGAAUAUGUAGUGUAGCGGUGAAAUGCAUAGAUAUUACAUAGAAUACCGAUUGCGAAGGCAGAUUACUAACAAUAUACUGACACUGAGGGACGAAAGCGUGGGUAGCGAACAGGAUUAGAUACCCUGGUAGUCCACGCCGUAAACGAUGGUCACUAGCUGUUUGAUUAACAUUGGUUAAUUAAGUGGCUAAGCGAAAGUGAUAAGUGACCCACCUGGGGAGUACGCU
Molecule: ribosomal RNA, 861 nt
Filed under: uncultured Flavobacteriaceae bacterium
Lineage: Bacteria; Pseudomonadati; Bacteroidota; Flavobacteriia; Flavobacteriales; Flavobacteriaceae
Description: bacterial SSU rRNA
Rfam family: Bacterial small subunit ribosomal RNA
Source: RNAcentral